This 87-nucleotide transfer RNA is filed under the name Pseudomonadota bacterium. RNAcentral describes it as "tRNA-Ser". It matches the Rfam family "tRNA". Rfam says of the family: Transfer RNA (tRNA) molecules are approximately 80 nucleotides in length. Their secondary structure includes four short double-helical elements and three loops (D, anti-codon, and T loops). Further hydrogen bonds mediate the characteristic L-shaped molecular structure. tRNAs have two regions of fundamental functional importance: the anti-codon, which is responsible for specific mRNA codon recognition, and the 3' end, to which the tRNAs corresponding amino acid is attached (by aminoacyl-tRNA synthetases). tRNAs cope with the degeneracy of the genetic code in two manners: having more than one tRNA (with a specific anti-codon) for a particular amino acid; and 'wobble' base-pairing, i.e. permitting non-standard base-pairing at the 3rd anti-codon position. RNAcentral also lists the same sequence under 1 other name. Lineage: Bacteria; Pseudomonadati; Pseudomonadota. The record is from RNAcentral.
GGAGGAGUCCGAUAGCUGGUCCAUUCGGGGAGUUUGCUAAACUCCUGAGCCGCAAGGCUCGCGUGGGUUCGAAUCCCACCUCCUCCG